This 206-nucleotide ribosomal RNA is filed under the name uncultured bacterium. RNAcentral's name for it is "partial 16S ribosomal RNA". It matches the Rfam family "Bacterial small subunit ribosomal RNA", at positions 568 to 774 of the family's 1533-position model. The record is from RNAcentral.
UGCGUAGGUGGCGGGGUAAGUUUGAUGUGAAAGCUCCGAGCUUAACUCGGAAAUUGCAUUGAAUACUAUCCUGCUCGAGGGCUGAAGGGGGGACUGGAAUUCUCGGUGUAGCAGUGAAAUGCGUAGAUAUCGAGAGGAACACCAGUGGCGAAGGCGAGUCCCUGGACAACUCCUGACACUGAGGCACGAAAGCUAGGGAGCAAACA